Molecule: ribosomal RNA, 374 nt
Filed under: Serratia marcescens
Lineage: Bacteria; Pseudomonadati; Pseudomonadota; Gammaproteobacteria; Enterobacterales; Yersiniaceae
Description: bacterial SSU rRNA
Rfam family: Bacterial small subunit ribosomal RNA
Source: RNAcentral
ACAUGCAAGUCGAGCGGUAGCACAGGGGAGCUUGCUCCCUGGGUGACGAGCGGCGGACGGGUGAGUAAUGUCUGGGAAACUGCCUGAUGGAGGGGGAUAACUACUGGAAACGGUAGCUAAUACCGCAUAACGUCGCAAGACCAAAGAGGGGGACCUUCGGGCCUCUUGCCAUCAGAUGUGCCCAGAUGGGAUUAGCUAGUAGGUGGGGUAAUGGCUCACCUAGGCGACGAUCCCUAGCUGGUCUGAGAGGAUGACCAGCCACACUGGAACUGAGACACGGUCCAGACUCCUACGGGAGGCAGCAGUGGGGAAUAUUGCACAAUGGGCGCAAGCCUGAUGCAGCCAUGCCGCGUGUGUGAAGAAGGCCUUCGGGU